Molecule: ribosomal RNA, 498 nt
Filed under: uncultured bacterium
Lineage: Bacteria
Description: partial 16S ribosomal RNA
Rfam family: Bacterial small subunit ribosomal RNA
Source: RNAcentral
ACUCAAAUGAAUAGACGGGGGCCCGCACAAGCGGUGGAUGAUGUGGAUUAAUUCGAUGCAACGCGAAAAACCUUACCUACCCUUGACAUGCCCGGAACGGGUGAGAGAUCACCGGGUGCCCGAAAGGGAACCGGGACACAGGUGCUGCAUGGCUGUCGUCAGCUCGUGUCGUGAGAUGUUGGGUUAAGUCCCGCAACGAGCGCAACCCUUGCCAUUAGUUGCUACAUUCAGUUGGGCACUCUAAUGGGACUGCCGGUGACAAACCGGAGGAAGGUGGGGAUGACGUCAAGUCCUCAUGGCCCUUAUGGGUAGGGCUUCACACGUCAUACAAUGGCGCGUACAGAGGGUUGCCAACCCGCGAGGGGGAGCCAAUCCCUUAAAGCGCGUCGUAGUCCGGAUUGCAGUCUGCAACUCGACUGCAUGAAGUCGGAAUCGCUAGUAAUCGCGGAUCAGCAUGUCGCGGUGAAUACGUUCCCGGGCCUUGCACACACCGCCCGU